Molecule: ribosomal RNA, 406 nt
Filed under: uncultured bacterium
Lineage: Bacteria
Description: partial 16S ribosomal RNA
Rfam family: Bacterial small subunit ribosomal RNA
Source: RNAcentral
AUUGAACGCUGGCGGCAGGCCUAACACAUGCAAGUCGAACGAGUGGCGGACGGGUGAGUAAUGUCUGGGAAACUGCCCGAUGGAGGGGGAUAACUACUGGAAACGGUAGCUAAUACCGCAUACCAUCGGAUGUGCCCAGCUGGGAUUAGCUAGUAGGUGGGGUAACGGCUCACCUAGGCGACGAUCCCUAGCUGGUCUGAGAGGAUGACCACCCACACUGGAACUGAGACACGGUCCAGACUCCUACGGGGGGCAGCAGGGGGGAAUAUUGCACAAUGGGCGAAAGCCUGAUGCAGCAAUGCCGCGUGUAUGAAGAAGGCCUUCGGGUUGUAAAGUACUUUCAGCGAGGAGGCGUUACUCGAAGAAGAAGCAACGGCUAACUACGUGCCAGCAGCCGCGGUAAUUC